UACGGAGGGUGCAAGCAUUAAUCGGAAUUAUUGGGCGUAAAGGGCGCGUAGGCGGGAGAGUAAGUCAGAUGUGAAAUUCCAGAGCUCAACUCUGGAGCUGCAUUUGAAACUGUUUUUCUUGAGGGUUGACGGAGAAAAUGGAAUUCCACGUGUAGCGGUGAAAUGCGUAGAUAUGCGGAAGAACACCGGUGGCGAAAGCGGUUUUCUAGUUAAUACCUGACGCUGAGGCGCGAGAGCAAGGGGAGCAAACAGG
Molecule: ribosomal RNA, 253 nt
Filed under: uncultured bacterium
Lineage: Bacteria
Description: partial 16S ribosomal RNA
Rfam family: Bacterial small subunit ribosomal RNA
Source: RNAcentral